Molecule: ribosomal RNA, 460 nt
Filed under: uncultured bacterium
Lineage: Bacteria
Description: partial 16S ribosomal RNA
Rfam family: Bacterial small subunit ribosomal RNA
Source: RNAcentral
CCUACGGGUGGCAGCAGUGAGGAAUAUUGGUCAAUGGGCUUACGCCUGAACCAGCCAAGUCGCGUGAGGGAAGACUGCCCUAUGGGUUGUAAACCUCUUUUGUCAGGGAGCAAUUGGCGCUACGUGUAGCGUUAUCGAGAGUACCUGAAGAAAAAGCAUCGGCUAACUCAGUGCCAGCAGCCGCGGUAAUACGGAGGAUGCGAGGGUUCACCGGAUUUAUAGGGUUUAAUGGGUUCGUAGGCGGAAUGCCAAGUCAGCGGUAAAAUCCCGGGGCUCAACCUCGCUCCGCCGUUGAAACUGGCGUUCUUGAGUGGGCGAGAGGUAGGCGGAAUGCGUGGUGUAGCGGUGAAAUGCAGAGAUAUCACGCAGAACUCCGAUUGCGAAGGCAGCAUACCGGAGCCCAACUGACGCUGAAGCGCGAAAGCGUGGGUAUCGAACAGGAUUAGAUACCCGGGUAGUC